CUUCACUAAUGUUCUCUGUGGUUGUAGUAAUUUCUGCCAUUUUGUCUGCCUUCUAAACUUUUGUGUUUCUUUAAAAAAAAUCCUUUUGAUAGAAGUGUCUGGUGACCUAUAAAGAACAGCGUAUUAUAUUUUGACUGAAAUGGUCAUGUUAUCCAUGAAGAUGCAGACUUUUUGUCAAUUAUUCUGUGUGCCAAACAGAUUGCAUAAGAGUGUGAGUACAGUUCUUUAGGUACUUAUGAAAAUGUUCAAAACUAUAUUUUUUUACAUACAAUAAUCUCUUGCUCGUUUAUUUGUUUUUCGCAAUGGUGUGUUAUUUUUUCAUAGACUUAUGAGUAUAAAUAUGAUCCUUUGGAUUCAGUGGCGGAUCCAGUUAGGGUUCUGUGCUUUGAACACCCUUUUUUUUUUACGAUCAUUGGUUUUAAAUUGGAACAAAUGUUUAGAACCCUCUUUUAAAAAUGACUGGUCCCGCCCCUGGGUAUCUUUCACUUUUUGCUAAAAUAAUAGGUACAUUUU
This 513-nucleotide long non-coding RNA is filed under the name Mytilus galloprovincialis (Mediterranean mussel). Lineage: Eukaryota; Metazoa; Mollusca; Bivalvia; Mytilida; Mytilidae. The record is from RNAcentral.